Molecule: ribosomal RNA, 141 nt
Filed under: uncultured bacterium
Lineage: Bacteria
Description: partial 16S rRNA
Rfam family: Bacterial small subunit ribosomal RNA
Source: RNAcentral
UGGGGAAUUUUCCGCAAUGGGCGAAAGCCUGACGGAGCAAUGCCGCGUGGAGGUGGAAGGCCUACGGGUCGUCAACUUCUUUUCUCAGAGAAGAAACAAUGACAGUAUCUUAGGAAUAAGCAUCGGCUAACUCUGUGCCGG